Molecule: long non-coding RNA, 13117 nt
Filed under: Marmota monax (woodchuck)
Lineage: Eukaryota; Metazoa; Chordata; Mammalia; Rodentia; Sciuridae
Source: RNAcentral
CAUUCCUAUAAUCCCAGUGACUAAGAGGCUGAGGCAGGUGGAUCGCAAGUUCAAGGCCAGCCUCAGUGACUUAGCAAGGCUCCAAGCAACUUAUUGAGAUCCUGUCUCUACAUAAAAAUAUAAAAAAAGGGGCUGGGGAUGUAGCUCAGUGGUUAAGUGUCCCUGGGUUCAAUCCCCUGUACCAAAUAAUAAUAAUAAUAAUAAUAAUAAUAAUAUAAAAAUUGACAAAGAACCUGAAUAAACAUUUUUCCAAAGAAAUAAAAAAAUGUGUAAUAAGCAUAUGAGAAGAUGCUCGAACUCACUACUUAUCAGAGAAAUGCAGAUCAAAACCACAACCAGAUAUCACUUCACACUUGUUAGGAUGGCCAUUAUUAGGGACAGAAAAGGGAAAUGACAAACAUUGGUAAGAAUGAAGAGAAAUUAGAACAACAAUUCUGCACUUUUCUGUUAAUAUUUUGAAAAUUAAAGGUAGAAAUGCCAGGUACAUAGUCAGAAGAAGAAAAAGUGGCAUCUCAAAGAAACAUUUACAAUAGCCAAGCCAUGUAAGCGAUCUAAAUUCAUUGAGAAGAUAAAUGAGUAGAGAAAAUGGGCUACAUAAUACCAACCAUGCAAUAUUAUUCAGCUCUUAAAAAGCAGGAAAUAUGCUACCUGUGGGUGAAAACUGGGGGCAGUAUGUGGGGUGAAAUAAGCCAAUGACAAGACAAAGAUCGCAGGAUUCCACUCUCAUGGAUGUACUUUGAGAAAUCAAACUCAUAGAAACGGAAUGUAGAUGGGCAGUUGCCAGAAACGAGAGGGAGGGAGAAUGGGGAGUUUGUUUCUUGACAGCUGUAGAGUUUCACUCAUGCAAGAUGAAUACGAUCUGUUGUUUGAUAAUAUGUAUACAGUCAACACUCCUGGGCUGCACACCUGAAAAUAGCUGAGGGCAAAAAAAAAAAAAUCUUCCUUAUGAAUGAAAUCCAAGUCUGGGACACUCCUCUUUGGACCAUAGUAACUUCUCUCACAGGAUUAGCAGAGGAAGAUGAGGGAAAACUUACAAAAGUAAAGGCAAGAGCCCUCCAUCAUGGCGGUCGCCAUGACAUCCACUGGCUGCUCAGGAGGCUGAGACAGGAGGACCACUUGAUAUUAGGAGUUUGAGGCCAGAUUGGGCAAUAGAGUGAGAACCUAUCCACCCGCCCCCCCCCCACAAAAAAAAAUCAAAACAAAGACAAAGCAAAACAACCCAACAACAACCCAACGACAAUAACAAAGCCCCUUCACCAGGUGGCCAGCUGAAGUAAGCCAUGUUUGGGUUGUUUUUUAAGUAUUCCCUCAUUCAUCUGGAAUCCCAGCUUGAAACGUGCAUUUAUUAGUUAUAAAAUAUGAAAAUAAAUCAUUAUAUUUUGUACACCAAGAACAGAUGAAAUUUUAAAGAUAUGCAAGUGACAUUAACAUUAAAAACUAAAUACCCAGGAAUGACUAUCGUUAAAGAUAGGCAAGACUUCUACACAGAAACCUACAAAAUGUUACUCAGAUAAAUUGAAGGAGAUAGAAAGAAGCGGAGGUGCAUACUAUGUUCAUGGAUUGGAAGAUUUAAAGACGGAAGAUGUCUGUUCUUCCAGAGUUGAACUAAAGUUUCAAUAAAAAUCUCAAGGCUCCAAAAAAAAAGUCUCCCGUGGGAUUUUCUUUGGUGAAAAUUCACAAAAGUAUUAUAAAAUUUAUAUGGAAAUACAGAAAGUUGAAAAUAGCUUGGACAAUUUUAAAAGAAGCAUGUGGAGACUUAGAAAUCAGUGAUUAAGAAAAUAUGUCAUUGUCGGCCCCUGGACACAAAAAGCUCUAAAAACAGAUUCAUAUAGGACCACUUGAUUCUCAGAAAAGGCACCGUUAAAAAGCUGUGGGGAAGCUGGGCACGGUGGUGCUCGCAGUAAUCCCAGCAGUUUGGGAGGCUGAGGUGGGAGGAUCAUAAGUUCAAAGCCAGCCUCAGCAACUUAGCAAUAUCAUAAGCAACAUAGCAAGACUCUGUCUCAAAAUAAAAAAUAAAAUAGGCUGGGGAUGUGGCUCAGUGGAUAAGGGCCCCUGAGUUCAAUCUCUAGUGGCAAAAAAAAAAAAAAAUGAAAGCAGUAGGGAAAGAACAUUAAAACACCAUGACAUAUUAUCUGAAUAUUCAUAUGGAAAAAGAAACCUGGACUCCCCACCUCACACACCAUAGUAAAAACAAAUUCCAGAAACAUUGUAGACCCAAAUGUGAAACUAAAACACAACAAAAUCAUCUAGAAGGAAACAUCAUGUUUUAAUGAACCCAGUGCAGAAAGCUCUGGGCAUAAAGGAAAAGACUGAUAAGUUUAGCUAAAAGGAAGAAUUUUUGUUCAUCCAGAUUUCCGGGGCUGGGGUUGUGGCUCAGUGGUAGAGCGCUCGCCGAGCAGGUGUGAGGCACUGGGUUCGAUCCUCAGCACCACAAAAAAAAUAAAUAAAUGAAAAUAAAAAAUGGCCACUGACAACUAAGAAAUUUUUAAAAAAAAGAGACAAUUUUUUUUCCAAUAAGAAAAUGUAAAAGAAACCAAAAUUGGAACAAGAGAAGUAUCUACAUGGUAUCACAUAUAUGCACAUUUAGGAAUCUUUUCCGAUUCACAGACAUCUAUUUCAAGUGCUGAAAACCAUCUGGAGUGAGUACAUUGUCGCUCAGUGUCCUCCACGAUCCGCUCCCUGUGCCAGGGCUGCGGAUCGAGCCCUGGAGCCCUCUGCGCCUGCGCGGGCAGGUGGCCCUCUGCGCUCCCCAGGGCUCCUCCGUGCGCUUCCCAACCUGGAAGGAACCGCUUCCCGCGUCUCCCGCUCUCCCCGGGCCGCGGGACGGCCACUUCCUGGGUCAGUCAAUCCGUGUGGCCCAGGUGGGGGCCGCAGGGUGGAAAGUGAAAGGGGUGGGGGUUAAAAGUAAAAUGGCCCGUUUCCCAAAGGAACCAAGAAGAAACCAAGAGGCGCGGGGAGGGACUCCCCAGAGGGGCCAUAAGCCAGAGCCGACAGUGGCUGGAAGCAGAAGUGUCACUUCGGGACUUCCCAAGAGGGAACACAGAACCAAGGCUGCGAGAUCCCGCUGGGUCUUCCAGGGCCUCUUCUGACCUGCCCUGGGGCUGCUCAGUUCUGGGCCUGGCUCCACCUUUCUGUCCCCUCUACCCGCUGCGCACCAGGUGCCAACAGCUUGGUCAGCACGCGGCUCACCUGGUGCUGACACCUGGCAUGUGCCCUCUCGGCCACAGAACCCUCUGCUCUGCUGGGCCUGGCAGCCUCCCAUGCAGUCCUCCAAAUUCAGUCCAAAUGUCGCCUCCUCCGUUGGUCUCUGCCCCCCCACGGAGUGAGAGUCGCCCCUUCCUCUGGAGUGCACCCCUCCGCCAAAGCCCAGAGCUGGGGUGUUUCCCUCUCAGCAUCCCCGCCUUAAAUUCAGUGCCCUGUGGAUCUUAUGUACUUGAGGAGCAUAAAAUCGCCAAUGCUCCACCUUUCCCUCACCUCAGGACCUUUGCACACACCACUCCCUCUGCUGAGGACGCUUUGCCCCCAGCUUCUUUGCAUUUCCAUCCUCAGAUUUCAACUUCAGUGACGCCUCUUCCAAGAGGCCAUUCACUCUGUUGGAAAUGGAUCUUCUCUGCAGUCCCCAGCCCACACAUCCCUGUGGAUCUCCUUCAUUUAGUGGACGUCUCUGGGCUGAAGCCCAAGCGCCCAGAGGUUGGGCGGUUGACCUCUCUGUUCCCGCAGCAUUCCUCGUGCAUGGCGCGGGGUCUGGAAUGGAGCCCAGGCUCCACCAGCAGAGACGAAAGAUGGAGAACGGAUUCAAGAAAGCGAGGUGGGUAGGUGCAGGUAAGAAGGAGUAGCCUGAGAGGUCGCAGUUUCCACAUCAGCUUCGUCCCUGUCCCCAGAGUCACCCUCUCUCUCCUCCCUCAGCUCCCGGAGUCUGAGUGCUGGUGACGGCUGUCAUCAGAUUAGUGACAAGGAGCCUCCGGAGGAGGGCGGCGGACGGCCGUGCUCACCUGAGCAGGUUCUCGCGCGGCCCUGGGCCAGAAAGGGGCCUCUGCUGCGAACCCAGGAUGGGCCUCGUCCUCCUCUCAGGCUCUCCUGGGCCUCGGCCUCCCAUCUGUCUAAUGGAGCGGGGAGCCUGGGGGGUGCCCGUGGCGUUGGCCGGCUGGGUCAUGCCCUCUGGGGACUGGUGUGCAAGGGUCUCGCCCUGAGCGCUCGGUGCAUGGGGAAGGGCCUCCCCCGGCAGCCUCCCGGCCUCCCCCGUGAGCACCUGCUGCGCUCCCCUGGCCCCGGAGCUCGCGCGCACCCCGGGGCGCACCCUCCCCUGCCUGAGUCCUGCGUCCCAGAAGCCUCCGCGCCCAGGCUGCGCCCUCUCCCAGCUCCUGCAGCCCUGCAGCCCCGGGGAGGCGUGAGGCAGCUGCAGGAUGCUCUCAACCGCAGCUGCUGGGGCUGGAGGCGGGAAGGCGGGGCCCGGCGAGCAACCUCCCCUCCAUCCCUGGCCAACCAGGGCAGGACCAGGUGCUCCUGGGCAGGGUGUCACUAAUUCACCCUGGAGAGAGCCGGCAGCCGCUUGGAAACUGAAGCCCAGAGAGGCCCAGAGCCUCUGCUGUGGUCACACAGCAAGGAAGGGCUGGUGCAUCUGCCUCCCUGGGGACCACAGGGGUGGCUGGACCCUUCUUGAGGGCUGCAGGGACCAGCAGCCUGGUCCCCAUUGAGGGCCCCUGCUGCGACCUGGGGAAUAUUCUCAGGUUGUCUCAGAAGUUCCAAGUUGACUCAGCACUCUCCUCGGAGCUGUCGUGAAAAGUCCCUUUGGCAGAGGGCCAGGGCAGGGAGUGGGGGUGGUGGCACCUAGGAGCCGUGGGGGAGGGUGCUCCUCCCACUCCUUCCCCUCCCCCUCGGGUUUCUGGGGCCCUGGAGAGCCCGUGAGGAAGGGGGCGUGGAGCAGAAGGACCCUCUUCCUCAGGAAGGUGUGAGUCCCCCCCCCCCACGCUCAAGAUGGCUCCCUGGGUGGCCCGAAACCCCUCCUCCCUCUCUGGGCCUCCGCUCCCCCAUCUGUGCAGUGGGGGCACAAUCACCAAAAGAGCUGUCACUGGUUGAACUCAGAGCAUGUCAGACUCUAUGCCAGGUAACAGAUAUUAUUAUCAAUAGUAUUUAAAGUAAAACCACCCAGUGUGACUCAGGAGGCCAAGGCAGGAGGAUCGCAAGUUUGAGGCCAGCCUCAGCAACUAAGUCUGACCCUACACAAUGUUGUGAGACCUGCCUCAAAAAAAAAAAAAAUUAAAAAAGGGCUGGGGAUGUGGCUCAGUGGUAAAGCACCUCUGGGUUCAAUCCCCAGGACCCCUCUGCCCCCCAACAAAAAAGAGUAAAACCUACUGGUCCUGAGCACAUGCUCCUCAUCAGAGCCUGUGUGCUCCGCUGCCUUUGGCUGUGUGAGUAACCAAGCCCAGGACCUGGGAGGUGUCUGACCCCAUAGUAUGUGCUCAAUAAAAACCCUCUGAACAAAUUCUCACGACCAACCUGAGCUGGGUGCUCCAGGUCCUGUUCUUAUAGAGCUCCGAUUCUUGUUCUUACAGACAUUUCCUCCUGUCACAGACAAGCAACCGGGGUUCAGAGAGGUCACAGGAACACUCACUCAGGUCACACGAGCACUAAGUGGGAGAGCUGGGAUUUGAACCCGGUUCCGUCUGAUUCCAAAAUCACGGUCAGCUGCGUACCCGUGAGUCAGCUCAGCGCCCCCAGUGACCACAGGGGACCCCGCUCAGCCUCCCGAGGCUGCUCUCCUCUCCUGCCACCGUCCCCUCCCCUGGUCACCCUCAAGGCUGUGGCCUGCCCUCCCUCUCUCCUCCUGGGGACUCCGGUCGACCUUGCUGGGGAGGUGGGAGCCGUGGGCUCGGGCUCAGCCUGGGUCUUGCUCUCCUGAGCCUCCUCUGUGGGGCCGACAAAGACCCAGACACCCCCAGGGCGGGGCAGGCCAGGCUCCCGCAGGACCUACAGUGGCGGGACCCCACGACCAGGGUCCCCACCUGGCCACGGCCCACUCCCCUGGAAUGGAUGCCCAACGGUCCUGAUGGGGUGGCCCUUCUCAGAAGGUGCCUUGUGACGUGAAUCUUCUUUGCCUGUCACCUUGUCCCACAGGUGGUGACCUUGGCGUUGUGUACUCUGAGCUGGGUAUUUCCUGGUCACAGUGAACCCGGGCAAAGACGUCCCCGCAGAGCCUCAGUCUUGCCAUCUGUGAAAUGGGCUGGGUUCUCUGAGGGUCGUGGGAGGUCCUCAAGUCCUGGGAUAUGUGAGCCCUGCGGCCGGGAGGGCCAGGCAGGCAGGGCUGCUGUGUCCUGGGAACGUCCCCACACCCUCUGCCACUCUUGGGGUCCGGCUUCUCCCCCCAUGGCUCAAGGUUCCUCAUGAUACAAACUCCCUGUCUAAAAGGAUACUUGGGACUGCAUUGUCACCUUGCUAUGACCUUGAGUCCUGACAGACAGCCCCCCCUUGUCCCCGUGUUACACAUGUGACAAACGAGGACAUGAGGCGAGGCCAAGCAGAGAUUUGCCUGAGCUCACCAGCCUGGGAAGGCACAUGGCCAGACUCUCCGGCCAGGUUUUCCCCAGUCACCACGUGCUCUGAACCCCCCAGGGGAGCCACAGCUGUCCCAGGAGCAGCCUCGGGCUCCCUACGGCCCCUGCACUGCGAACUGGGCUCCUGCUGGGCAGAAACUGCCACCCCUCCAGAGUGUCCUGAGUCCUUUCCCCACACGUUGGCUCCCCUGUGGCUCUCCACCGGGUCACUAAGCUCCUCACUCCCCCUCCUCCACACACAAGAGGAGUGGCCUCUUAUCAUCUGACCCACCCCCGGGGUUCAUGAUAAAGACCAGGAGACAGCUGCAGGGUCGCCUGGUUUGACUGCCCACCCUGCCGUAUCCUAGUUGAGGCGCCAAAGGAAAAUCGUCCUCCGUCUCCAGGCUUCAUUUCCUGUGAAAUGGGCGCCCAGCCGGGUUUUGAAGGAUGAGAUAAAAUACAGGUGACAAAACACAGACGCCCUGGCCUAGCUGACAUCUCUGCCCGCCAAAACGGCCCGGGAGGCUGCAGUCUCCGCCCCUGUGCCCACUGCAGCCUGGCCCACUUGCCCAGGACCCAGGCGAUGGAGGCCCUGAUUCUUGGAGGCUGGUUUCUGUGGAUGGGUCAUCUCAGCCAUGCCCCUGCCUCGGGGCCCUGAGCUUCCUGCAGAGCCACAUCAAAGACCUCCAGUCAUUCAGAGCCGGCCAAGCGGGGACUCCAGCCCCACUCUGCCCACUGGCAUGAAGCUUCUGAGACUCAGUGUCCCCAGGUGUCACCUGCCCACAGGCUCCGAGCCCUCCUGUUGGGCACUGAGGCAGGUCCUCCUGGGGGAGAAGUUGUCCUGCCCGGGGACAGCGACAGGACCUAGUUACCUGCUCCUGCAGUGUCUUCCUCAGAAACCCAUUCCGUGGUCCCCGCGAUCGGGCGGCCUCCGGGGUGGAGGCGGGUGGCCUCGCGGAGGACGGAGACGGCAGGGUCCAGCCGGGUGGCGAUCCACAGCCGGCCCCGCGUCGGCCACCGCACGGGUCACCCAGGCCGAGGGACGGCGGGACUCUGGGCGGGUGGGGCGCAGGCAGGGCCGGGAGCAGGCGACAGGAGCGCGGGGCAGGGACCCGCUGGCCGUCCGGGGUGGACGAGGCCCGGGGACAGCCUCAGGCGCAGCCCGGGAGAAGCAGGCGGGUGCCCGGGCGCGGGGCCCACGGCCACCCGGCGGAGCGACGCCCGUGGGUCUGCGCGAGGCGGCGGCGGGCGGCUGCCAUCCCUGUCGCCGCGGCGGGCGGAGGAGGAUGUGGCGAGGCCGCCCCGCCCCCGCCCGCCCCUCCCCGCAGAGCAAGGUGGGGACCGGCCAGGCGGCGCCCUGUGCUCGCCAAAGGUCACCCAGCAAGCCGUGGGGGCCGCCAGGACGACAUGUGCCUCCGGGGGACAGGUGACAUCAUCCCCACAAGCCUCUCAGUGACCACCAGGGAGCCACUUCCCACAGAUGUGCAAACCGAGGCUCCAGGCUGAAGGGGUAUGGGGACCGCUCAGUGGCCCCACCUCUGGGACACAGAGAAGGCUGAGCCCUGGGGACAGAGCCUGUCCAGGCGUCCUGGAGACCCCCCUGUCCCACCUGCAAACUGGCCUGUCCCAUCAGCCACGCAACUGCCGGCCCACUGGGUCUGAGCAGCCCCGGUGACCCCGACUCUCCCCACCUCUGUCUCCUGCACCAGGCCCCUGGGGGAGCCCAGUCCCCAUGUCCUUGAAGGCAGAACCCCCGGGGCCCCUGUGGCGUGGCCUGCUUUGCCCUUCUCUCAAAUAGAGACACCCAAAGGCUGGCCACAGGGACCAUGGGGACACGGGGACUCAAAAAGACACUAGAGAGAAGACAUUCACCAGACAGAGAGAGGUUCUGUCUCCUAACAAGCCAGAGGCGCAGGACAGGUUCAAAUGUCUCUGGUUGACAUUUAAGAGACCAGGGGACAAAACCAGCUUACGCCCAGCAGCCUCAAGAGAGGAACUCGAUCAUCACCAUGACCACCGCAAGACCGCCGGGCACGGCUCAUCCUGCCAACCCUGGGGGCAGGGGGGACUCCUCCACUUUGCGGAUGGAGAGAGGCUCACAGAGAUCAUCCCACAAGCUGAGGGCGGGAGCUGGGAUUUGAACCCAUCCCUAAGCUUGCCCCCGAGUGUGCAAAGGGAAUGUGUCCAGAGGGGGGGGACGCUCUGGGUCCGCGCAGAUGCCUGUCCAGCCCCCCCAUCCCGCCAUGGACUCAGUUUUGGGGAGCAACUUACAGAUGCUCCUCAAGGCCAGUCCAGGGGGAAAGAGAACGCCUCUUGCACUUUAUUUCUUGAUGUAUGUGCCUUUUUCUUUUUCUAGCCAUGUUUUGAGGAACUUGGGACACAUUCCCCUGUGGUCACUCUGCAGGCUCUGGGUCCUGUACACAGCCCCAAAGACAGGCUUUGCCCUGACAACAGGAAUAUCUCCCCAGCUCCGAAGAGCAGAUCUUGGGAAGGAAACCAGCUUGCUCUUUCUUGUUCUCUUGAUCUUCAAAGUGAAUCUCCUGAUACCGCGUCCUGCAAUUGGUAGCCAUUGAAAGAUCAUAAGGAGGAGUAAGAGAUGACUAAUUUGUGAAGGGCUUGCUUUGUACUAGGGGGUGAAGGACUUUAAAGAUUUUUAAAGACUUUAAAAAUCACUGGAGAGCACAGCUACCAUCCUCCUCCAUCGUUUCCCCUUGUGCGACAGAUGAGGAAACAGAGGUUCAGAGAGGUUAAUGAUUUGUCUAAGGUCACACAGCUGGUGAGUUAGAAAUUGAAUACAGUCAUUUGGACUCCAGAGCCCACACUUGAGAUAACUCACUUCACUUCAAGAUAAAAAAAAAAAAGUGGGAGGGUGGGUAGCGACGUGGGCAAGGUUUUAGGCAGUGCAAAGGUACUGAGGCAGAACCCAUGUGGCUUGCUCCAAGAGUACAGGGACAGAGUGGCAGCAGAGACCAAUGGGGGGGGGGGAAGGUCACACUCACUGCAUGCCACCUGGGAGGAAAGCAGAUUUUGUUCCAGUGGAAAUGGGGAGUCAUCUCUGGCUUUCAAGGGGUGGUUUAGUCUAAUUUGCAUUUUCAAGAGUGCUCAGGGCACGCACAGGCUGUGUGUGGGACACAGCAGGGGCCACUUAGUCCCUUAGUACCUGAAAAGAAGAUGGUUUGGGGACUGGAAAUUUAACAGCUGCCAGGGCCACAUCCCCACCCCCAGAAAUGGACGUGAAGUGUCCUCUGGGGCGGUGCCUCUGGGUCUGCCCAUGUCUCAGGAGUGUGGCCCGCGGAAGGGAGGUGUGGUGGGACCUCUGGGGCCCUCGCAACCCCGGAGGACUCAGAGCUGGUCACCGAGAGGAAGUGGUCUCUCUGCCUUUCAGUCAAGUGGUCUCCUGGGGGAAAAAUAAUUGCGACAGCCCCUCCCUCCGCCAUUUCCUCUUUUUUAUUUUUAUUUCCACAGCUCCUUUGAGGUAUUAUUUAUAUAACAUCAAAUGCAGCCACUGAAUUCAGUUCAAUUAGUUCUAGAAAAUGUGUCGAAUUGUGCAACUCACCAUGAUCUAAUGUUGGGAAAUUUCCAUCAUCACACACACACACACACACACACACACACACACACACAAACCCCCAACAAUCCCUUGGGCCUGUUUGCAGCCAGUUCCCGACUCCCACGUGCUUGAUCGUCCUCUGCCAAUUUUUUAAAUUGCAUUAUCAUUGUUGGGUUGUAAGAGCUCUUUACAUAUUCUGGAUACUUGACCUUUAUCAGAUAGAUGGUCUGCAAAUAUUCUUUCUCAGUUUUCUGCAUCGUCUUGUUACUUUCUGAGUCCUGUGCUUUCAUGUAAAAGAGUUUUGGGGGGGUUGAAUCCUGAGCUGUUUAACCACUGAGACACAUCCCCAGCCCAUUUUCUGUAUUUUAUUUUGAGAUACAGUCUUAAUAAAUCGCUUAGGGCCUCACUAAGUUGCUGAGGCUGGCUUUGAACCUGCCAUUCUCCUGCCUCCGACUCCCACGUUGCUGGGAUUACAGGCGUGCAACAUUGCACCCAGCAGUAAAAGAAUUUUUAAUUUUCUCAUCCCCAGGCCCCUCUUUUAAAAUUUUUUUUAAAUGUUUUGAGCCAGGGUCUUGCUAAUUUGCUUAGGGCCUUGCUAAAUGGUGGAGGCUGGCCUUGGACUUGUGAUCCUCCUUCCUCAGCCUCCCAAGCUUCUGGGAUUAUAGGCAUGUACACUGCACCCAGCAAGAGCUUUUAAUGGUUAUAAAGCACAGUUUCUCUCUUUCUUUCUUUGUGCUUUUGAAGCACAUCUAAGAAGGAUCCGUUACCAAAUCGAAGGCCAUAAAGAUUUCUUCCAGUGUUUUUUUUUUUUUUUUCCUGAGAUUUUUAUUGUUCUGUUACUUCUUCUAUUUAGGUCUCUGACCCAUUUUAUAUUCAUUUUGGUGUAUGGUGUGAGAUAAGGGCCAAACUUUGUCGUUUCACAUAUAGAUCUAUCCAGUUGCCCCAGCACCAUUAAAUAAAUCAAUAAACAAGGAAUAUUUCUUGAUCAAAUAUAAAUCACCAAAUAUAAAUAUUGAAUUAAUUAACUAAGAGGCCAUUCUUUCCCCAUUGAAUUGUCCUGGCAUCCUUAUUGGAAAUCACCUGACCCAUGCCGUUUAUUUCUAGACUCCUGACCUGGAUGUCAACAGACCGACGAUGUCCUUGGUCAAAUGUGUUGUCCCUGGGCCAACAGCCCGAGGUCCCUGAGCACAGCGGCUCUGUAGUGAGUCUUGAUCUUGUUGUUCUAACAGCUGUUUGGGCUCUUCUCUUGCAAUUCCACAUGAGCUUUAGGAUCAACUUCUUCAUUCAAAAGAAAAAGACACCAGUCGAGGUGAAGCAUGCCCAUAAUCCCAGGCACUCGGGAGGCUGAGGCAGGAGGAUCACAAGUUUGAAGGCAACUAAGGGAGACCUUGUCUCAAAAAAAAAGUACAAAGGGCCAGGGAUGGGGAUGUAGCUCAGCCCAGCACCAAAAAUAAAUAAAUAAUUUUAAUUAAUUAAAAGAAAGAACAUUGGGAUUUUUAUAGGGAUUGCAUUAAAUUCACAGAGUGCUGUAAACCUGAAGAUCGCCGUCUCAAGGAUGUUACACCUUCCACUUCACCAAAAAUUUACUUGGGUCUUUCUUCUUUGAUUUUUUUUCAGUAACGUUUCUUGCAACUCCUGAGUUCUAUCUGUCCCCAGGGGUUUUAUUGCUCUUGAUGCUGUUGUGAUGGAAAGUUCUUCCUUGCCUCCUGGGGCCGGGCUGCUCCUCGCUGGUGCCUUGAGACCCCGUGCGUUUCUGCAGGUUAAUUUCUAUCCUUCCACCUGGCCCAAGUCGUGUUUUGGUUCUAGUCAUUUCUUUGCCGAUUCUUGAGGAUCUUCUCUAUUUAGGAUCACAUCGUCUGUUAAUCAAGGUCGUGUUUCUUCUUCCUUUCUACUUGGAAGCUUUUAAUAGCUGCCUCUUGCUGAUCUGUUGGGGUUUGAACUCCGGGUAUCGUGUUGAGGAGCGUUGGCCAAGAGGGCACCAUUCUCGUUCCCAAUCUUAGGGGAACAUCUUCCAUUUUUCAUCCGCUGUGAGGUUUCAUAUCCGACCCUUGUCGAAUUGAAGGAAUUCCCUUGGAUUCCUAUUUUGCUGAGGGUUUCAGUCCUGCAAGGGCAUUGAAUUUUGUCAGAUGCUUUUCUGCAUCAAUAUAAAUGAUCACGUGGUGUUUGUCCCUUUAUUCUGUGAAUAUGGUGUACCGUGUGGCUUCACCUUAUAUUGAACUAUCCUUGCAUUCCUGAGGUUUGGUCCUGCUAUAUAAACUCUUCAAGGGGCUGUAGGACUCUGUUUUCUGGUAUUUUGUUGAGGAAUUUUUUGCAUCUAUGUUCCCAAGAGAUGCUCAUCUGUGACGUCCUUGUCUGGAUUUGGUAUCAUAGAAUGACUUAGAUAAUAUUUCCUCCUCUUGUGUUUUGUGGAAGAAAUUAAAAAAGGAAUGAGGUUAAUUCUUCUUGAAACGUUCCAUAGAAUUCAUCCACGGACUUUUCUUGCCUGGGAGGUUUCGGGUUGGUAAUUCAACUCUUAUUUUGUGAUAUGUCUAUUGGGGUUUUCUAUUUCUUCAUGAGUCAAUUUUGGUAAUUGGUUUUGGUGAGACUUUUAAAGUCUCCAGUGAUUCCGUACCGUUUCUAGAAAUUUGUCCGGUUCAUUGAAUUUGUUGGCGUACGAUUGUUCAUCAGAGGAUCCUUUUUGCUUCUGUAGAGUUGGUAGUCAUGUCCCCACUUCUGUUUCUGAUUACAUGAAAGAAAUCUUGCUUGUAUUGAAGCUACCAUCAAUUUGUAUUUCUGUUAUAUGCGGUUGAACCUAUAUUUGGUUGAACAGUCACAGAUUCAGAUUCAGGUAUGGACGCAGAUGCAGACAUAGAUCUGAAUAUAUUCCUGACCCAAGAAUAGAUAUAAAUAUAUUUCUUCUCCUAAGGGGAAAGAUCAAGCAGGACAGACAAGUAACAAUCUCUGUCGAAUCCCAGAAAAUAAAACAUAACACAUUUUAUCACUCAGGGAUUUUUGUUUUGUUUCGUUUUUCUUCUGGUGCUGGGGACUGAACCCAGGG